This 585-nucleotide ribosomal RNA is filed under the name Cortinarius meleagris. RNAcentral describes it as "eukaryotic LSU rRNA". The stretch from base 225 to 377 matches the Rfam family "5.8S ribosomal RNA". Lineage: Eukaryota; Fungi; Basidiomycota; Agaricomycetes; Agaricales; Cortinariaceae. The record is from RNAcentral.
UUGCUGCUGUUCUCUAGGGAGUAUGUGCACACUUGUCAUCUUUAUAUUUCCACCUGUGCACCUUUUGUAGACCUGGAUAUAUCUCUGAAUGCGCUAGCAUUUGGGUUUGAGGAUUGACUUGUUGAUCUCUCUUCUUAUAUAUCCCAGGCCUAUGUUUCUUUCAUAUACACCCCACUUAUGUUAUAGAAUGUAAUAAAUGGGCCUUUGUGCCUAUAAAGCUAUACAACUUUCAGCAACGGAUCUCUUGGCUCUCGCAUCGAUGAAGAACGCAGCGAAAUGCGAUAAGUAAUGUGAAUUGCAAAUUCAGUGAAUCAUCGAAUCUUUGAACGCACCUUGCGCUCCUUGGUAUUCCGAGGAGCAUGCCUGUUUGAGUGUCAUUAAUAUAUCAACCUCCUCAGCUUUUGCUUGUUGAGUGUUGGAUGUGGGGGUUUUUCUUUGCUGGCUUCUUUUUGAGGUCAGCUCCCCUGAAAUGCAUUAGCGGAACAACGUGUUGACUGUUCAUUGGUGGAUAACUAUCUACGCUGUUGACAGGAAGCAAGUUCAGCUUCUAACAGUCCAUUGAAUUGGACAAUUUUUUCAUUAAUG